AGAUGUCAACUCGCGCUAAUUACCAGAUUGCCCUCUCCUCGGCCGCGGCGACGAAUCCCCUUUCCGCGGCGCCGCCGCCGCUAGGUGCCAUACCGUCGAUCUUCUCCGGCGGCGCCGAAGCACGCCGCGUCGAAGUCCUCUCCUCUCCUCCGUCCUCUCCCCUCUACUGGUUCGGCGGCGGCGCGGAGCGGAGAUCUCCAUCCGGGCCGAUUCGGUGAUUCUUCCUUCGGUUCGGCACAAAAUAGUCCUGAAAGAAAUAUUUGGCCUAGUGGCGCCGCCCUGCUGGAACUCUAAGACCACUCUUUUCCCAGACGCAGUAAUUGUUGCCGUGAGCAACGACAUGGAAGUCUGACGGGAUCAAGUUGCCCACAUCAUACCGAGUCCCAAUCUUUGUGAUCACCUUGUCAUCGAUCAUGGCGACGUAGACAUCUCCGUCAGCAGCAAGGAUGUUCAGCUUGCUCCCAGGAUGAAUUCCAUUUCUUGACCUCACCGCGGCCAAUGUGCUGAUCUCCUGCUUCAAGUUCCAGUCAAACACAUGGUCGUAGAACUGUACAGACAGACGGAAUGUUAGUUCGAGAUUAUGGUUAACAAAUAUCGAUUUCUGAUAGCGAUGGAGAUUAUCAAGCUGAGCACUCACAAUGCAGGGUACUCCAGGGUGUGUGAGGAUGUAGGCGUAGCCCUGCAUGACCUUGUCGGAGGGGAACGGCCAUGAGUUCUGUGUGGAGCCAGUGUCAUGAUUGUCGAUGAAGGUGACAGCCUUCUCCGGCAGCCAGCCAAUCAUCCCCGGCGCCUUGCCGUUGCCAUCCUUCAUCCGCCACAGCUCACCUUGCACCGCUGCCUGCAGCUCGCCCUUGGUCGUGAAGUCGAACGCCGAUGCAGGGCCACCGACGGCCUGCGCCCAGUUCACCAACUCCUGCCGGUCACCGUCCUGGUUCCACGACGGCUCACCGUUGCCGUCGUAACGCAUGUUGCUCCAUAUCUCGGCGACGACGAAGGACGGGUCGGUGUUGUCCACGUACGUCUUGGCGACGGUCGCCGAGUAUCCCUUGGCGAAGUCGAGGCGCCAGCCGUCGAAGCCGACGUCGGACUUGAGCCAGUUGAGCCAGUCGGAGAGCUCUGUCUGCACACGCGUGUUGAGGUGGUCGAUGUCGGGCGCCGCGCCGAAGUCUGCGCCAGUAUCGCGGUGACCGCGGCCGUUGGAGUACUGCGUGUCGUCGCUGCAGAUCAUGUCGGGACCCCAGUCGAGGCGGCUGUCCGGCGUGCCACCCUCGAAGAUGCAGUAGAUGCCACGGCUAUCCUUGUAAUCCGCGCACCGGUGGUUGAUGACGAUGUCGGCGACGCACUUGAUGCUCUUGCUGUGGAAGGCGGCGAUCAGCGACCUGAGCUCUGCCCCCGUCCCGUACUUGGACGCGUCCAGGUCGUAGAGCCGUCCCGGCAUGUAUCCCUGUGGCGCGACGGAGUGCGACGGCGGCGGGAGCCAGACGUGUGUGACUCCGGUCGCGGCGAUGUCGUCGACGUGGCUAUGGAGGAAGUUGUACCACCCACCCUGCUUCUUCCAUGACUCCCAGUUGAAUCCCUGCACCAACAUCAUGUCAACGUGCAGAUCAAAUGAUCAAUGAGACUCACCUGAAAGAGAACCUGAGCCUGGGCUAAGUGAGAGCCCAAACAGAGCAAGACGAAGAAUAGGAGGCAGCUCAUUGUGGUGGAAUGCUUUGCCAUUGCGUGUCUCAGAUACAAGCUGAGUUGUGUGGAUGGGGAAUGCUGGUGCAUGGGAAUUUAUAGGUGCAGCCCGGCAUGCAGACGUACCUCUCCGGGUGAAUUGAUUGUUCAAUUCGUUGGAUAAGUUCAGUUGCUCCUAACGAGAAACGCAACGGCACGGCGGCGACGAGUUGCGCUCAUUUAAAAGAGGAUAAAAAGGAGGCCAAUAGGAAGUUAGAUAAAGCCUUGGAUAGCGUUGUGGGCUCCAGGUAAAGCUUCCUUUUGUUCUUCCCGUUCCCGUUCCCUGGAGGAGGCGAGGCUGUUCCAGGCUGCAGCCUUCCUUCAUGCGAUCGUCUCUGUUGGCGCACAUCCACCUAAGGGCAGCUAGCUAAAACCAAUUCGAAUUUUGUUUCGCAAUUAAUGUUUUUUCUUUAUUUCCUAUGUUUGCUAGUUUUCUUCUUUGGUAUCCAAAUUACAUUAUACAAUUCAUCCAUCCAUCAUGAAUUUAAUUAUCCUUGUUGUACACGUACUUUUGCCGGACACUUCCUAGAAUUAGAGCCUCAUUGUUUUCUUUUUCAAGGGAA
Molecule: long non-coding RNA, 2282 nt
Organism: Oryza sativa Japonica Group (Japanese rice)
Lineage: Eukaryota; Viridiplantae; Streptophyta; Magnoliopsida; Poales; Poaceae
Source: RefSeq, a predicted model, not a curated record